RNAcentral lists this ribosomal RNA (253 nucleotides) under uncultured bacterium. RNAcentral's name for it is "partial 16S ribosomal RNA". It matches the Rfam family "Bacterial small subunit ribosomal RNA", at positions 524 to 776 of the family's 1533-position model. The record is from RNAcentral.
UACGUAGGGCGCAAGCGUUGUCCGGAAUUAUUGGGCGUAAAGAGCUCGUAGGCGGCUUGUCACGUCGGGUGCGAAAGCCCGGGGCUUAACCCCGGGUCUGCAUUCGAUACGGGCAGGCUAGAGUGUGGUAGGGGAGAUCGGAAUUCCUGGUGUAGCGGUGAAAUGCGCAGAUAUCAGGAGGAACACCGGUGGCGAAGGCGGAUCUCUGGGCCAUUACUGACGCUGAGGAGCGAAAGCGUGGGGAGCAAACAGG